RNAcentral lists this ribosomal RNA (83 nucleotides) under Shewanella algae. RNAcentral's name for it is "partial 16S ribosomal RNA". It matches the Rfam family "Bacterial small subunit ribosomal RNA", at positions 1452 to 1533 of the family's 1533-position model. The record is from RNAcentral. Lineage: Bacteria; Pseudomonadati; Pseudomonadota; Gammaproteobacteria; Alteromonadales; Shewanellaceae.
GUUUACCACGGUGUGGUUCAUGACUGGGGUGAAGUCGUAACAAGGUAGCCCUAGGGGAACCUGGGGCUGGAUCACCUCCUUAC